Molecule: ribosomal RNA, 492 nt
Filed under: uncultured bacterium
Lineage: Bacteria
Description: bacterial SSU rRNA
Rfam family: Bacterial small subunit ribosomal RNA
Source: RNAcentral
GAUGAACGCUAGCUACAGGCUUAACACAUGCAAGUCGAGGGGCAGCACGGUGUAGCAAUACAUGGGUGGCGACCGGCGCACGGGUGCGUAACGCGUAUCCAACCUUCCCGUUACUCAGGGAUAGCCUUCCGAAAGGGAGAUUAAUACCUGAUGGUGUUCAAAUUCCGCAUGUUAUUUGAACUAAAGAUUCAUCGGUAACGGAUGGGGAUGCGUGACAUUAGGUAGAUGGCGGGGUAACGGCCCACCAUGCCUUCGAUGUCUAGGGGUUCUGAGAGGAAGGUCCCCCACACUGGAACUGAGACACGGUCCAGACUCCUACGGGAGGCAGCAGUGAGGAAUAUUGGUCAAUGGUCGAGAGACUGAACCAGCCAUGCCGCGUGAAGGUCACGGUCCUAUGGGUCUUAAACUUCUUUUGUAAGGGAGCAAUAAGUCUCACGUGUGGGAUGAUGAGAGUACCUCGCGAAUAAGCAUCGGCUAACUCCGUGCCAGCAG